GAACACAAAAUGGCGACACGUGGUUAGCAUUCGUCGCCAACGAGAAAUUGGGGUCGGCCCGAAAGCUCUAGAAUGCACCCCUCUUCCUCCCCGGGGCCUUCCACCUCCGCGAGUUUUAUGACUUAAAAAAGCCCACAGGCUGGUCUGAAGAGGAAGACAAACAUAAAGAUGAAGUGCUUAAUUCAAGGUCACACAAUGUCGGGGAUGGACCUCCAGAUUUCCUUACUGGAAAACAAGCUCAGGGCUCCCACUGAUUGUACAUUAUGGUGAGACGUGGUCUUGUAACACAGUGGUUAAGAAUGUGACUUUGGAGCCAGCCUGCUAGGGGCUGAAUUCUGACUCAGCCAUUUACUAACUGUGUGACCUUAGGUCACAGAAUUUUCCACACUCCUUGACAGAGGUGCUUAACCCUUAUCCAUCAGCAUUCUCAGACAGCACCUCCGGUUAGGGACAGUAUCUGACCGUCCGACAUCCCUGCAGCCCCCAUGUGUCACACAGACUCAGCCUCAGGUAGAUGGUUUCCGUAGAUGGUGGCUUUCUUUGGACCCUUGACAUCAACCAGUUACUAUUUGCUCCUGCAACCACCGCUGUACUUUCUGUCUCUAUGAACUUGACUACUCUAGACACCUCAUCUCAGCAAGGCCCACAUUUUCCCGGUGAAGCCACAGAACCACAGGGAGAAACCCAUGGACUUCGCCUCUCUCUCUAGGGGACCAGAUGUGC
This 723-nucleotide long non-coding RNA is filed under the name Homo sapiens (human). RNAcentral describes it as "PCBP1 antisense RNA 1". Lineage: Eukaryota; Metazoa; Chordata; Mammalia; Primates; Hominidae. The record is from RNAcentral.